GCCAGACUCCUACGGGAGGCAGCAGUGGGGAAUAUUGCACAAUGGGGGAAACCCCGAUGCAGCGACGCCGCGUGAAGGAUGAAGUAUUUCGGUAUGUAAACUUCUAUCAGCAGGGAAGAAAAUGACGGUACCUGACUAAGAAGCCCCGGCUAACUACGUGCCAGCAGCCGCGGUAAUACGUAGGGGGCAAGCGUUAUCCGGAUUUACUGGGUGUAAAGGGAGCGUAGACGGCAUGGCAAGUCUGAUGUGAAAACCCGGGGCUCAACCCCGGGACUGCAUUGGAAACUGUCAGGCUAGAGUGUCGGAGAGGCAGGCGGAAUUCCUAGUGUAGCGGUGAAAUGCGUAGAUAUUAGGAGGAACACCAGUGGCGAAGGCGGCCUACUGGACGGUGACUGACGCUGAGGCUCGAAAGCGUGGGGAGCAAACAGGAUUAGAUACCCGCGUAC
RNAcentral lists this ribosomal RNA (446 nucleotides) under uncultured bacterium. RNAcentral's name for it is "partial 16S ribosomal RNA". It matches the Rfam family "Bacterial small subunit ribosomal RNA", at positions 330 to 793 of the family's 1533-position model. The record is from RNAcentral.